CACGUAGUUAGCCGUGGCUUCCUCCUCAGGUACCGUCAUUAUCGUCCCUGAAGACAGAGCUUUACAACCCGAAGGCCGUCAUCACUCACGCGGCGUUGCUGCAUCAGGGUUUCCCCCAUUGUGCAAUAUUCCCCACUGCUGCCUCCCGUAGGAGUCUAGGCCGUGUCUCAGUCCCAAUGUGGCCGAUCACCCUCUCAGGUCGGCUACGCAUCGUCGCCUUGGUGAGCCGUUACCUCACCAACUAGCUAAUGCGCCGCGGGCCCAUCUCAUAGCGGAUUACUCCUUUAAUUGCUACUUCAUGCGAAGCUACAAUCUUAUGCGGUAUUAAUCUCCCUUUGGAAGCUAUUCCCCUCUAUGAGGUAGGUUGCCCACGUGUUACUCACCCGUUCGCCGCUAGCUUUUGUCCGAAGAACUCCACUCGCUCGACUUGCAUGUGUUAGGCACGCCGCCAGCGUUCUCCGUGAGUCCGAGGAGUACAAAACUCCUCUUAGACGUACGUACGG
This 503-nucleotide ribosomal RNA is filed under the name uncultured Clostridiaceae bacterium. RNAcentral describes it as "partial 16S ribosomal RNA". Lineage: Bacteria; Bacillati; Bacillota; Clostridia; Eubacteriales; Clostridiaceae. The record is from RNAcentral.